This 496-nucleotide ribosomal RNA is filed under the name uncultured bacterium. Its description in RNAcentral is "partial 16S ribosomal RNA". It matches the Rfam family "Bacterial small subunit ribosomal RNA", at positions 29 to 507 of the family's 1533-position model. The record is from RNAcentral.
AUGAACGCUGGCGGCGUGCCUAAUACAUGCAAGUCGAGCGAACAGACGAGGAGCUUGCUCCUCUGACGUUAGCGGCGGACGGGUGAGUAACACGUGGAUAACCUACCUAUAAGACUGGGAUAACUUCGGGAAACCGGAGCUAAUACCGGAUAAUAUAUUGAACCACAUGGUUCAAUAGUGAAAGACGGUUUUGCUGUCACUUAUAGAUGGAUCCGCGCCGCAUUAGCUAGUUGGUAAGGUAACGGCUUACCAAGGCAACGAUGCGUAGCCGACCUGAGAGGGUGAUCGGCCACACUGGAACUGAGACACGGUCCAGACUCCUACGGGAGGCAGCAGUAGGGAAUCUUCCGCAAUGGGCGAAAGCCUGACGGAGCAACGCCGCGUGAGUGAUGAAGGUCUUCGGAUCGUAAAACUCUGUUAUUAGGGAAGAACAAAUGUGUAAGUAACUAUGCACGUCUUGACGGUACCUAAUCAGAAAGCCACGGCUAACUACGUG